RNAcentral lists this ribosomal RNA (304 nucleotides) under Streptomyces sp. WAC 05977. RNAcentral's name for it is "partial 16S ribosomal RNA". It matches the Rfam family "Bacterial small subunit ribosomal RNA", at positions 1 to 309 of the family's 1533-position model. The record is from RNAcentral. Lineage: Bacteria; Bacillati; Actinomycetota; Actinomycetes; Kitasatosporales; Streptomycetaceae.
UUGUUGGAGAGUUUGAUCCUGGCUCAGGACGAACGCUGGCGGCGUGCUUAACACAUGCAAGUCGAACGAUGAAGCCUUUCGGGGUGGAUUAGUGGCGAACGGGUGAGUAACACGUGGGCAAUCUGCCCUGUACUUUGGGAUAAGCCUGGGAAACUGGGUCUAAUACCGGAUAUGACUGGGCCUCGCAUGGGGUUUGGUGGAAAGCUCCGGCGGUACAGGAUGAGCCCGCGGCCUAUCAGCUUGUUGGUGGGGUAAUGGCCUACCAAGGCGACGACGGGUAGCCGGCCUGAGAGGGUGACCGGCC